UGUCUAGGGUUUGCUCGAGCCGUCAAAAAAAAAGAAACAAUAGAUUUUUUUAUCCACCAUCUCCCUUCUCUCUGGCUCUCUUUCUCUCUGACCUUGUGUCUUCUAGCCAUUACCGCCUGUCUCUCCCACUCUCAUCUCGCCGCCGAUGUCCCUAUCUCACUUUCUCGUCUCUCUCUCCUCGCCUAAUCCACUUCUCUCAAGCUCUCCUCGCCGCCAGCUCUCCUCUCUCUCUCACACACCGCCAGAUAUACUUUAUCUCAAGCCACACCACCAUGGCUGGAGGAAGCAAGGCAAUAUAGGACGGAACCCACCAUGAGAGGUGAAGGAUUGAGAAGAAGCUUGAUGUGUAAGGAGACAAGGCCAGCCGUGGUCACUGUGGUGGUGGUGGUCGCUCUGGUGGUGGUACGGCGGAGGAGGGAAGGAGGAGGAAGGAGUCGGCUGCUUUAAUUUUUAGGGUUGAUUUUUUUUUUGAAUUAGGUUUAGUUAAAUUUAGUUAGAUUACACUUCAUUAGGUUUUGUUAAACCGGUUCAAUUAACUAAACCAGUUUGUUAUAAGUUUUUUAGUCUUUUAAUAUAUUCAUGUAGUUAAAUAUGUAUCUGUAUGGAUAUAUACAUACCAGUUUCGUUAUAUAUAUAUUUAUUUAUAUUUUUUA
Molecule: long non-coding RNA, 653 nt
Organism: Raphanus sativus (radish)
Lineage: Eukaryota; Viridiplantae; Streptophyta; Magnoliopsida; Brassicales; Brassicaceae
Exons: 3
Source: RefSeq, a predicted model, not a curated record